AACGUAGGAGGCAAACGUUAUCCGGAGUUACUGGGCGUAAAGGGCGUGUAGGUGGUUUCGUAAGUCUGGCGUGAAAUUUCUCGGCUUAACCGAGGCAGGGCGUCGGAUACUGCGGAACUUGAGGACGGUAGAGGCGUGUGGAAUUCCGGGUGUAGUGGUGAAAUGCGUAGAGAUCCGGAGGAACACCAGUGGCGAAGGCGACGCGCUGGGCCGUACCUGACACUGAUGCGCGACAGCAUGGGGAGCAAACAGG
Molecule: ribosomal RNA, 253 nt
Filed under: uncultured bacterium
Lineage: Bacteria
Description: partial 16S ribosomal RNA
Rfam family: Bacterial small subunit ribosomal RNA
Source: RNAcentral